This 73-nucleotide transfer RNA is filed under the name Ailuropoda melanoleuca (giant panda). It matches the Rfam family "tRNA". From Rfam's summary of the family: Transfer RNA (tRNA) molecules are approximately 80 nucleotides in length. Lineage: Eukaryota; Metazoa; Chordata; Mammalia; Carnivora; Ursidae. The record is from Rfam by way of RNAcentral.
ACCCGGCUGGGUCAGUCGGUAGAGCAUGUGACUCUUGAUCUUGAGGUCGUGAAUUCAAGCCUCACGUUGGGUG